UAGAGUAAUGCGUGACCAACCUGCCCCAUGCUCCAGAAUAGCUCUUGGAAACGGGUGGUAAUGCUGGAUGCUCCAACUUGACGCAUGUCUUGUUGGGAAAGUGUUUAGUGGCAUGGGAUGGGGUCGCGUCCUAUCAGCUUGUAGGCGGGGUAAUGGCCCACCUAGGCUUCGACGGGUAGCCGGCCUGAGAGGGCGGACGGCCACAUUGGGACUGAGAUACGGCCCAGACUCCUACGGGAGGCAGCAGA
Molecule: ribosomal RNA, 248 nt
Filed under: uncultured Gardnerella sp.
Lineage: Bacteria; Bacillati; Actinomycetota; Actinomycetes; Bifidobacteriales; Bifidobacteriaceae
Description: partial 16S ribosomal RNA
Rfam family: Bacterial small subunit ribosomal RNA
Source: RNAcentral